UAAGGAAUAAGGGACGCCCAGAGUUGGCAUCCCAUGGUGUCGCCCCUUCUUUCCUAUAAAUAGAGGGUGCUACACCUAUUUUUGUGUGCCAAUUUGGGCUGAGGAUAGGAUUGAGAAUGAAGAGAAAAAGAGAGGAAAAAUCUAGGAUAAAUACAAGGAAAAAAGAGAAAAAAAAUAGAAAGGAAGGGAUGAGAAAAUAGGAAAGCAUGAGAUGCUUGUCCUAAAAUUAGGUUAUUCAUGUGUUGAACACUAAAUCUAAUUUUUGUGUGGUGAGAUCAUUUGAGGAAAGGUUCCUAGAGUGGUCC
This 305-nucleotide long non-coding RNA is filed under the name Elaeis guineensis (African oil palm). RNAcentral's name for it is "long non-coding RNA (EGUI_LNC077834)". The record is from RNAcentral. Lineage: Eukaryota; Viridiplantae; Streptophyta; Magnoliopsida; Arecales; Arecaceae.